RNAcentral lists this ribosomal RNA (371 nucleotides) under uncultured bacterium. RNAcentral's name for it is "bacterial SSU rRNA". It matches the Rfam family "Bacterial small subunit ribosomal RNA", at positions 527 to 896 of the family's 1533-position model. The record is from RNAcentral.
GGGGGGGGCAAGCGUUGUUCGGAAUUACUGGGCGUAAAGGGCUCGUAGGCGGCCAACUAAGUCGGACGUGAAAUCCCCAGGCUCAACCUGGGAACUGCGUCCGAUACUGGAUGGCUUGAAUCCGGGAGAGGGAUGCAGAAUUCCAGGUGUAGCGGUGAAAUGCGUAGAUAUCUGGAGGAAUACCGGUGGCGAAGGCAGCAUCCUGGACCGGCAUUGACGCUGAGGAGCGAAAGCCAGGGGAGCAAACGGGAUUAGAUACCCCGGUAGUCCUGGCCCUAAACGAUGAAUGCUUGGUGUGACGGGUAUCGAUCCCUGUCGUGCCGAAGCUAACGCAUUAAGCAUUCCGCCUGGGGAGUACGGUCGCAAGGCUG